Molecule: ribosomal RNA, 29 nt
Filed under: fungal sp. 1.15.3A
Lineage: Eukaryota; Fungi
Description: partial 28S ribosomal RNA
Source: RNAcentral
UUGACCUCAAAUCAAGUAAGAAUCCCCUU